UAUAAAUGUGAUGAAUUGCACAUUCGCAGAGUCAUAGCAUUAGGGGAUGCAGGCAGUGUUUCUUUCCCGAGGAGAGAGAUGCACAGGUGCCACUCAGUCAUCAU
Small nucleolar RNA from Cercocebus atys (sooty mangabey), 104 nucleotides. NCBI's taxonomy places the organism in Eukaryota, Metazoa, Chordata, Mammalia, Primates, Cercopithecidae. The record is from Ensembl.